CAUAUCUGUAACAAGGAAACGUUGUUACUGACAUUCCAUGUCGAUUUGUCAGGUUCAAUUGCAUAACAAACAGUUACAGAAGGGAAAAAAAAAUAAAACUUUUGAAAUAAUUCGAAUUUUUAAAUAUUAAUCGAAUGUAAAAUCUACUGUGAUACAAGUCACAAUGUGCGACGCGCACAUUUCAUUUAACACUUUAACACUUUCAAUAUUUACAUAUUAAAAAAAUUAAAAAGUUGUUUUAUAAGAACUUUAUUUUGACUAAAGUUAUUCCACUUUAUUUUCGGUAUACAUAUGUAUCUUUAGAACUUCUAUAUAGCUUAUAAAAUAUUUACUUUCACCAGAAUAAUUUCAUCACGUAAAGUUUUAUUGCACUGCACUUGCGAGAAAUAAACGUCAGCGGUAAGUAACGAUUGAUAUUAUUGGCGGUGAUAACAUUACGGCACGACAAUAAUAUCUUUGCGUCCUUAUUCCGCAAUAUUAUAUUAUGGACCGACAAUAUUUCAUAUAAUGCUACCGAUACGAAGGCAAUCUAAUUUCUUAUAGAUAAUCAUAUAACAUUAACGAGCAAUUAUCACAAUUUCCUUUGCCAUAAUUUCUCUCUCUCUCUCUUUCUCUCUCAAUGAGAUAUUCUUCAGUAUUUAACUGCAAUUAACUCUGCUCUGCUGAGAGAUUAAAAACAUUGUAAUUUUAGGUCAAAAGUUUAAUCAUCAUAGGAAUGAAUUUUAAGACUGUUAAAAGUUUUUGCCUAAUCUUAAUUAAUGCAUAGCAGGCAAAGAAACAAUUAAAUUAUUUAUAAAUUUUUAAGCAGAUAUUAACAAUAUAUACUGCACACAGUAAAUACAAAAUUAUUUCAAAAUAAUUAAAAUUAUUAAUGAAUGAUAUAGAAACAAACAAAAAUGAAUUAUGCUGUUUCUAUACAAAAUUAGCGAAUGUUCCAUCCUACACAUAAUAAAAAAAUAAUUAUAUUAUUAGUUACUGAUAACCUCGCAAAUCACUAACAAUUCUUCUGUCCCGAGAAAUAAUCGCGCAUAAAUAACAAUGUAUUCCGACCUAAUUCGCAAAGUUAUGUGCCGAUAAGGGUGAGAAGUAUAGUUUAAUAUUCAAGAUAAAAUUCUUCAGAUACUUAAUAGCAUUAAACGUGCAUCUAUUAUAACGCUUUCGUCUCGAAAAGGUUAAAUGACAUUUAGUUAGAUCUUCUGAAAUGGCACUCAACCUUGUCAUGUUAUACUCAAUAUGUCAUUGAUAAAUAAGAUACAUGGCAUUCGCGAUACAGUGCAACGAGCAUUAACCAAAUAUGUCUACUACAAUCUAGCAGCUGUACGUAUCAUCAUCCUCCCAUAAUCUCUUUCGCAAACAUUACGAGAUGCGUUAAGAUUCUUCAAACCGGAAUGAUGAUGUGCGAAGCGUCAUUAUGAAGCUUACGGUAAAAUUAUUCUAAUAUGGGUUCCCCUGAUGCGUCUGCAAUGUAAUUCUAGAUUUGGCAAUACUUCACGAUAAUCUUUCUAAUGAGCUGAAUAUUAGACAUCAAAUGGAAAGUGGUGUAUUAUAAUUUAUUUAGUAACUAAUAUUAAAUUGAUAAAUGUGUUCUACAAUACACAUGUGUGUUCUUCAUUGCACAGAUUUGUAAUUUCAUAUAUAAUAUUCAAUUCUUCACUUUUUACUAUUACAAUAUAUUUCUUAAUUUAUAUUGAGAAUUGUUUGUAUCUACAAACUUUGGUAUGUCUUAGUUUUUAUGUUACGUAAAUUUAAAAACACAUUUUUCAAAAUGACUGACGCAAUUUCUCAGAAGUGAGAACUAAAGAUAAAAACUGUCAACUUCUACUUUUAUGUAAAAUACGUGUUUGUUUAUCGCCUGAACUAAGAUUACUUGCAAUACCUGUAAUUAACUAUUUUUAUCAUACACGUUAAAUUAAAUUCAAUACGAGUUUGUUGGAAAAUCAAUAUUUGUUCUUUAAAACCGCACAAUUUUAAUAAUUUACAAUGUUAUAAAUUUUAUAAUAUCGUUUAUUAAUUCUAGUUUGUUCAUUAAUCAAGCAAUAAAGCAAGAGUUGAAGUCAAUAGCUCGAAUAGUUUUUGAGAAAUCUAACGUAUAAAAGUUCAUUUUUAAAUUUACAUAAUACAUUUGGCCAUACCAUAAUUGCAGAUAUUUAGUAAAUAUAUACAGGUAGAUUUCUAAAAAUGUAGAAUAAAAAUGUGCAAGUUAUCUUUUCAAAAAUUUCCAAAAAUAAACCAUUUUUUUCCGCGCUCUUGAAUAUUCUCUUAAGUCGAUAACUAUAGGUUAUAAAAAGGUAAAGUUAAGGUAAUCGCUAUUUUUUUUUUUAUAAAACUCUAGAUUUAAUUUUCCAGACUAAGAAACUUCGCUAACAGCAGGACAAAGCACAUGUACGGCUUUAUUCAUCGCAUCAAGCCAUAUAUUAAGCUAAUCUAGACAAUCGAAGGUCGUCGUAGUCGUAUUGAGGCCCUCGGCAAUCGGCAAGGCCGUUCUCAGGAAUCGACAAAGGUUACAGAUCGAGAGAACGCAGUCGUCGACAGCUUGAUCUUGAUAGCAUGAAAGACGACGAGAUGAUUCAUAACUAUAAAAUGAAUCAACUCUGCAAUUUCCUUUUUAUAAUCCGUGUUGAAGAACGGGAGAAAAAACUACAGUAACUUUUCAGCUAUUAAAUAUCUUUUGGCGUAAAAGUAAAAAAAAAAACCAGUAUUGUAUGCGAAUGAAAACGCGCAUACUUUGUAGUAUUCGGAGAUGUAGAGAGGCACGUUCAUUAGCUAUUCUUACAUACAUUUUAUAAUCACGCUAGUAGUACACAAUUUUCUCAUAAGACUUCCUUCGUUGCAAAAUAGAAUCACGAGCAGGAAGUUGAAGGCACACCGCAAUGUUUUAACGAUCCUUUCGAAAGCCACAUAUGUUAGAAAAUAGUUACGGAGACAAAGGGGAGCGGAUCCAUAAAACAAUCUUGCGAGCCUCGCGAACUAGUCUUCGUACUCGGCAAACUAUAGUUAUAAAUAACUAUGGUAUAGUCAUAACCAUAGUUAUUUAUAAAUAACUAUAUUUUAUAUUUUUCGAAAAAAAAUUUGUCUCAGAAAAAAAUUUUUAUAUUUCUUUUCUCUACCAAAUAUAAAAGUGGUUAUAUUUAUUAGAAAAAUCUCAACUGGCUAAUAAUUAGGCGCAUUAGUCAAUAUCAUCAACGUUUACUUUAACCGAAAAAAUAAAAAUAAAAUAAAAAUAAAUCGCCAAAUAAAGCGCGACUUCAUUCGUGCAUUGCAAGGUCGAAACGUCGCGAAGAGGAGUUUUGUAUCGAGCGGCGAGACUUUCGCUCUCUUAAUUCCGUAAAAUAUCAGCGAACGGCCGUAUUAAAUAAAACAUUGUCGGUAGGGAAUUUUUUCCUUUUCGGAGCGCCGCACGUUUCGAUUUCUAGACGGCGAGGUCACCGAUGUCAAUUCACGAGACGGUGUCGGAAUGCGACUGGUAAAUGAAUGCAACGGUACCUUAUUUGUAUCGUGCGAUCGGCAAAAUAUACAUUGUAUUUGCUGCUAAGGAGCACGACUGUAUUGUUAGACAGGCAUGCCUGUGGUUACACAAAUUGACCUCAUAUUUUAUCGCUCAUGUUUAAUAUGUCGCAAUAAACCUUUACAGUCGAGAAAAGAUUGCGUUAAAAUUAAUCACAUAAAGAAAACAAGUAAACGUAAAAAUAAAUCGGAAAACCAACGAAUUUUAACGUAUUUUAAAUUACGCGUACAGGAUAUAAUUCCAUUUUCUAUUGUGCCAAAAAGAGGAAAUUAAGGAAUAAGGAAUUAAUUAGAUUGUUUCGUACGUUUUAUUAUAUAUCGUGGUUAUGCAAACGUGGACAUGCGUGGGCUUGCUUUUAAUUUGUAAGGAUUAUAGCGUACAGAGUUGUUCGGCCUGCCUGAUAAGAAAUCUGCAUAGGGAAUAAUACUGUUGAGCGCCUUUCCUGACCGAGCACUUUCACCCGAUUUCGGAAUGUUUUUCGCCUGUGCAAGGCUCUCUUGUUUCGCAAGAGAUAUCUUAUUUAUAGUUGCCAGUAUAUACGGUGUCCUGGAUCAAGAGGAGAGCGGUCAGCGUGCGGCAAAACCGCCCAUACAUCUUGAAUGUGCCUCGACGUUACGUACGCGCGGCGCUAUGGGAUAUGUGACCUUAAUUAUGUGCUUAGGUGAAAAGCGAUUUAAUGCCCCGAUACGCAUAAAAACUCAAGAAUCCGAUAAUGGCCGUACUCGAGAGUGCUCUGUAACGCUCCGUUCUUAUCGAUGAUGACUUGCGAUAAGAUAGAACUCCGUGAUUUUGUUUGCCGUCAUCAACCAACACCCCCCCCCCCCGGUAUUCAUUAUACAUAAAAUAGACGUAAUUACAUAAACAAUUUAUUCCUAAUAGGCAUCUGUUCUAAUAUUUUGUUAUUAAAUACCGUGUUUGAGUAUUUAUAAUAAUUACUAAGCCACAGCGAAUCACGAGUUGCUGAAAAAGAAUUUGUUGUUGCUCGUUUAAGAGGAAGGUAUUAUAUCAACAACGCGGAAAUAUAUUUUCGUCGAAAAGCCGAGGAAGAAUGGCGCUUAAAUCGAUACUAUCGCCAAAAGUGAAAGUUCGGCUGCGUUGUGAAUUGUCGAGUAAGUGGCAAUCAGUGGAACAAUGACAACCGAUCUCGCGUGCCUUUCUAACGAGAUGGAUAUUGAACGUACGUUACAUGACAAGCGUGAUGCAAAUUACGCUUUGUUGAAUACUUACGUCGAUCGCGGUCACGGAAUUAAACCUAAUAAAAAAUAUUUUAAAUAUUCAAUCGGUAUGACGCCAGUAAAAAAAAAUCCAUUGUCAAGUAGAGGGUCCAUCUAAAUCAGUAUAGGUUUACAAAAAAAAAUAAUAAUAAAUUACUAUUUACAGAGGAAGUAAAAUGUAUAUUUUAUUAUUCAUUGUAUCUUGACAUUUAAUCUCUUCUUUAAAUAGUAAUUCGUUGGUUUUUUUUGUGUAAAAAGCUACUUAUUUAUAUCGCAUAGUUCCUAGUACGAAGCAUUUAUCAAGCAGGUUAUCAAAUUUUAAUAAAUGACCUCGUAGGUCUAUGUUUUAUCUAUAUGAUUGGAAUUCAUGUUGCCACGAAAUUAUCACACUAGCGGAACGAAGCCAUUGUGAAACUGUCCCGUGUUCUUCGCUUAUGCGAUCCCCUACAGAUUGUAUAUCGCGAUGAUAAAAUAUAGAUUAGAAUUGACUUAUAUCUGUGAAUGGACCGUAAAAUAUAAAAAAAAAAAAAAAAAAAAACUGUUAAACGUUAUAAUAGCUCCAUUUUUUCCGCAUUUUUAAAGAACCGCGUAUGCCACGCGUACCUCCUAUGUAAUCGCUAUGUUCGCGCCUUCGCAAUCGACGGUGGGAAACAACCGGAUGCCGCACCGCAUCGCUGGCAUAGCAGGAAUACUUAAUGAUUGAAAAGCAACGGGUCCAGAAAAGUGAGAAGUCGUUUAUUCGGAUCGCGGUCAAUUAAAUGCACGAAUCGCUCUAUGACUAAAUCGAAUAAACUCCCGAAACUUGCGCAACAAUGAUAAAUUUAUAAAUAGGAACGUCGCGAUGACAAUACUACCGUAUGACAAAAUAACACGUUAAUCCGACGAUUUCAUUCUCGCAUAUAGAAAAGAUGCGAAAAACCGUGACGAUUUCGACAUACGUCGCAUAUAAACACAUAACAUUUCGACUGCGUAAAAGACUACAUAAAUGUUUCAUCUUUGCGAUAUGGGCAUUUUGCAACGAAUUCUUCGAAUUGGUGAAUUUCUCGAUUAACAAAGAAGCAACAGGUUGAGAUUGACUCCCACCUGUUGUGACGCGCACGCGAAGCCCACGCAACGGGUAGCCUCGUAAUUCGUUGCAGUUCGCUGCAGGUCGAUCGCUGGACGCACACAUAUUCACAGUCGUAAACGAUAUUACCGUUCUCGUCGUGAAUAAAAAGUUAUCCCCGAAGCUUUAUUAAAAAUAAGUAAGAAAAUUAAUUUUGUUUUAUAAAAAUAAUAUUAAUAUACACAUAUCUUUUAAUAUGUAUAAUGCUGUACAGUACAUAUGUCAGUUAUAUAUUUAUUUUUCACCAUUAAAUUCUGUAGGGAAUAAUUAAUAUUUCUAAUUUCAGCUUUUAAAAAAUAUGAAUAUAACAAUACCGUACUAAGACAGUCUUGGUUUAGAAUAGUCAAAAUAAAUAUAUCGUAAUAAAUUAGAAUUUUUGCGUUCAAUUAUUUGUUGUUUUUUCUUUUAGGAAAAUGUAUUUUUUAAAAAAGUAAUAAUAAAAUAACUUUAAAGUAUUUGCAAAAUAUUCGCAGAAUUAUGGUCAAAAUAAUUAUUUAAAAGACAUAUCGUGAGGGGAGAUUGAGAAACAGCAAGUAGUUGCUCUUCACUAAUAGAACAUAAAUUAAUCACUGUUCCUCAUAACAUGGAUCGCGCGUGCCGUAGAGAACGCGAGUUGCGCAAACCCGGAGUGAAGGCGAGUAAAAAUUACAUAAUAAACAAUCAAUUUGAACAUCUUUAUAUUCUUAUAAUAAAUGCUUCCCAUUUGUGACACAAGUCGAUACAAGGACUUUUUUAAUUACAAGCAAAUAUUGCGAACAAAUAUCGCAGUAUUGCACAAAAUAUUGUAUUUAUCAAUAUUUUUUUUGAAAAGUCAGAAUGAUAAAUGAUGAUGACGAUGAUGAUGAGGAAUGAUCAAUAUCUAUCUAAAAAGCAGCGGGAUAUUAAAAUUAUGAAUUUCUCAUCUAAGAUUGAAAAGAUAAAGUUUGAUGGAUUAGAUUUUAUGUGACCAUUAGCACCAUUAGAAAGUAACAUAAAGAAAUAGAAGAAAUAAAUAAAAAGGCACUACUCGCGCGCGAGUUUUCACAAAAAGAAUUCCUCACUCGACACAAAAAGCCGAUUAGCUACGAACGUACCCCUUCUCAUUAAAUCCUUCCCCUUAAUUUUUCCUUAUACACUUUAAUCCGUCUUCGGUCUGCAUAAUGUUGUGCCUCGUCUCAAUUCCUCCUUGUACCGCGCCGCUCUUCUUUCCUUCUCUGUUUCUUCGAGGGAAUGCAGUUGCAACUUGCAAACCGCAAUAUCACAAGACAUCGUGAACACACGGUGGAAACAGGCGUGAACCCCGGCGUAAACAACGAUCUACACGUAUUAUAAAAGGGCAUCAACCGUGCCGUAAUUUACAAGUGUUCUAAGCGAGCAAGAAAGAUAUCUCUACUAAUUACCUUCGUAAUACACAUGCUACUUUAAGUAAUUCAUAAAAUAGUUUAGACGUAAACGCUAAGUGCAUUUAAUUGCUCUCGCAAAUUAAAAUCAAAGGAAAACAAAUGAAAAGUAAAAAAAAAACAUUCAAAAAAAGUAAUUUGUAAACGAUUGGAUCGAGAUAUGCGUUAGUAUCAGAAUAUUUUUUCGUUCUCUAUUUUUCUUAUCUUUGUAAGCCUUAUACCGCGACGAGAGAUUUUUUUUUUUUCAUUGUCUUUGCGGGAGAGACACCCAAAAAUGGAUGAAGCGUGUGACCAUGCAACGCGCGAGUGGAUUUAGAAAACCAACGUGGCGAUCAUGCGGCACGAUACACAUCCAAAUUUAGGAGCCUGACUUCCUCUACCUCCUCUCGAACGCCUGAAGCUUGUUUUCCGGCGAGGAAUGCCGCCCACGCGAUUAAGAAACUCCCCGUUAACUCGCCCGGCAAGUUUUAUUAACCCUCUAGUAUCGAGCUAUACAAAUGAAAUACCUUUCGCGCAUAUACCACGGUGUUUCCUGUGUUACUCGGCCAUUUAGAGAUUUCACUGAUAUUAAAAAAAAUAAGAUCUCGAAAUUUCGUGAAGUAAUAGGCAUGAAAAAAAGAAGACAUGUGCUGUCCUCAUAUAAUUUUUAGACUCUUCCAAAACGGAGCAAUAAAAAGUUAUAUUUCCUUCCGUAUUUUUUCAUGCCAUUAAAAGAAUACCAGAGAUCUCGAGUUACAAGAACACUGUGUAUACUUUUAUGUAUACUUUUACAUAACAAGUAUCUUAUUAAGUAGACAAAAUAAUCACACGGAAUAAAAUCCGAAAAUUUAUAAGUACAAUUACUCACUGAUUAAAUUCCUUUUAAGGGAAAUUUAAAUUGUAGUAGAAGCUCAUUAAAUAACGUAUUCGUAUAUUUGCAUCCGGACGCAUGAGAAUAGAUAAGAAAGCUAACGAAGUUUAUUACUAUUCAUACUUCUUCUUAGAGCAAGGCGUAAUUAUGUAAUACAUUCGUGAUAAAACAUUUGAUUUUAUGAGAAAUUCGCGGUAAACAAAUAUAUAAAUUUAUAUAAAAAUUAACGAUAAAAGCGACAGCGAACGGAUUAUCCUAAAUGAAGCUGUACUGACGUAAGAUUCCAAAGUUCGCGCACUUCGUUCUAAAGUUCAUUUCUAAUGCAAUGAGAUAAAACUUUGAGUACACAGCGUCGUCUGCACUUGAAGAAGGAAGAUUCGGCAUAAAACUGACUAAACAGACAAAUCUUUCUCCCUCCCCCCCUCUCUCUCUAUCUUCUUUUGCCGUUUCUCUUUCUGUAUGCAAAGAGACUGCGCUCAGUAUCGGUCAUUCAACGUAAGGAUAAACGAGACGAGAAAUAUCACAGCGAACUGAGGACGGCUCGGCGAGCGGAACUAAACGAGAACGACUCCUGGUCUUUCCGCGCGAAUAAAGUCGGAUAAAUUAGCACAGCAAAUGGAAGUAAAUAGGAGCUGCACGCCACGGUCUUUCGCGAUAAAAACACUCGACUCGCAAGGAUUCGCAUAGAGCUCGCACAAUUUUUGAGCGAAACGCUCAAGUCAUAAAUCCGGCACUUCAAGGCUUAUCCUCGAAAGCGGAAGUUGUUACGUAUGCGAUGAAGCAAGAGAGUAUUUGCCAUACAUUCCGCUUGAGCGGCGGCUAGAGCGAAAUAAAUUUCAACGCGAGAUAUAUUCAUUUAGAAUAUACAGUUCAAAAGAAUUCACAUAGAAACCAGCGAGGCUAAAACGGGAACGGACAUCAUCCUGCUGCCUAAAAAUUAGUCUUUUAGUCAACGUAUAUAUCUCGCUUGUUUAAGUAGAUACAUAAUGGAGUACCGUUACUGCGUAAUUAUACAUGGUUACGUAGAUAAUACACCAGUACAACAGUUUCAACCGAUAUUCACGUAAAACUGUCGUGCCGCACAUAA
This 9140-nucleotide long non-coding RNA is filed under the name Monomorium pharaonis (pharaoh ant). RNAcentral's name for it is "uncharacterized LOC114254634". The record is from RNAcentral. Lineage: Eukaryota; Metazoa; Arthropoda; Insecta; Hymenoptera; Formicidae.